This is a non-coding RNA of Ixodes scapularis (black-legged tick), 91 nucleotides long. The record is from Rfam. Lineage: Eukaryota; Metazoa; Arthropoda; Arachnida; Ixodida; Ixodidae.
CCGUCGAUAGCUCAGGUGGUAGAGCGGUGGACUGUAGACGUUCUCAAUUGCGGAUAUCCAUAGGUCGCUGGUUCAAAUCCGGCUCGACGGA